GCCUGGGUAGCUCAAUUGCUUAAGCGUCUGACUUCAGCUCAGGUCGUGAUCUCACAGUUCAUGGGUUUGAGCCCCACAUCAGGCU
Molecule: non-coding RNA, 85 nt
Organism: Felis catus (domestic cat)
Lineage: Eukaryota; Metazoa; Chordata; Mammalia; Carnivora; Felidae
Source: Rfam